This 617-nucleotide ribosomal RNA is filed under the name Tulasnella sp. BUH 0001. Its description in RNAcentral is "eukaryotic LSU rRNA". The stretch from base 190 to 353 matches the Rfam family "5.8S ribosomal RNA". Lineage: Eukaryota; Fungi; Basidiomycota; Agaricomycetes; Cantharellales; Tulasnellaceae. The record is from RNAcentral.
CUUCGUAGUGACCUGCGGAGGAUCAUAGUAAUGUCUUUGACGUACUGUUCCGUCCUCGGGACGUUAAGGCGCUCUGGUCGAGGAUAAACGACCCCUCUGACCGAGGUAAAGCGGUCGUUGUGUUACCUCUCGAGGCACACGUUAAAGAUCGUUCCGCGUUGUGAGUCUAAACCAGUUGUAACUUUUUACAACCGGUAGCGCUGGAUCCCUUGGCACGUCAUUCGAUGAAGACCGUUGCAAAUUGCGAUAAAGUGAUGUGAUGCGCAAGUCCACCACUUAUACGUGAAUCAUCGAGUUGUUGAACGCAUUGCACCGCGCCCUAAUCCGGCUGCGGUAUGCCCCUUUGAGCGUCAUUGUAUCCCUUCGGGAGCCUUUUCGUUAAGGCCCGAGUUCGGAGUCCUCGGUCUUUGGAUCGUGUUCUCUUAGAUGCGUCGCGCCGAUCGCCUGAUGGGUCGCUCCAAUGCCUAAGCGUGGAGUCCCUCGGAGCUGAGACGCGCUUGACCGGGUGUUGAGCUCGCGUCGCCAAGUCCGCACGUCUCUGACGUCGGUACUACAACGCAUGACCUCAUUGGGGUAGGACAACCCGCUAGACUUAAGCAUAUCAAUAAGCGGAGGAA